Molecule: ribosomal RNA, 468 nt
Filed under: uncultured bacterium
Lineage: Bacteria
Description: partial 16S ribosomal RNA
Rfam family: Bacterial small subunit ribosomal RNA
Source: RNAcentral
GAUGAACGCUGGCGGCGUGCUUAACACAUGCAAGUCGAACGGAAAGGCCCAAGCUUGCUUGGGUACUCGAGUGGCGAACGGGUGAGUAACACGUGGGUGAUCUGCCCUGCACCUCGGGAUAAGCCUGGGAAACUGGGUCUAAUACCGGAUAGGACGAUGGUUUGGAUGCCAUUGUGGAAAGUUUUUUCGGUGUGGGAUGAGCUCGCGGCCUAUCAGCUUGUUGGUGGGGUAAUGGCCUACCAAGGCGUCGACGGGUAGCCGGCCUGAGAGGGUGUACGGCCACAUUGGACCUUGGGUCCGGCCCAGGCUCCUGCGGGCGGCAGCAGUGGGGAAUAUUGCACAAUGGGCGCUAGCCUGAUGCAGCGACGCCGCGUGGGGGGUGACGGCCUUCGGGUUGUAAACUCCUUUCGCUAGGGACGAAGCGUUUUUGUGACGGUACCUGGAGAAGGAGCACCGGCUAACUCCGUG